GUUUAACGAUUGUAAGUUACCAAUUAAUUAGAAGUGUCAAUUAAGACAUGACUCUAUGUUUUUUAGUGAAAUGGUUUAUGAAUAUCCAUGGUAUCACCUCUAAGCACAAGACUCCGAACUGGCACACAUUCUUCUCGUCGUGCAUUGGGCAACUAUGAAAUUUGAGUGGUGACUGUAACAUUAUAUAGUGGAGAAAAGAAGAUAAAGAUGUAAUGACACAUAGUACUCAAAAAUACCUAACAAGAAAUAUUUUUUACAAAGAAGUCACUUUUCUAGGAAAUUACUUUGUGAAAAUGUGUAAAAAUGAAAAAGAAAAAAAAAAACAAGGCAAUUCUGUAGCAGAACUACUUCCCCCUCCCUAACCCAAAAAAGGCAUGUAAAGAAACUAGAACAUUUCUUUACACUGAACUCCGUGGAUGCCCCAUGUACAUGAAGAAUUAUUUUAUCAAUCCUCAUUGUAACUGUGCUUUACUUAGAAAGUUAUUUCAAUGCCAUUGAAAUUAUAUGUAGUAAUUAAGAAAGAUUUAAUAAAUAUGAU
Bacillus rossius redtenbacheri is the source of this 538-nucleotide long non-coding RNA. RefSeq lists it as uncharacterized. The transcript is spliced from 4 exons. The record is from RefSeq and is a predicted model, not a curated record. Lineage: Eukaryota; Metazoa; Arthropoda; Insecta; Phasmatodea; Bacillidae.